AAUCAACGCUGGCGGCGUGCCUCAGACAUGCAAGUCGAACGCGAUUUAUAUCUUCGGGUAUAGAUUGAGUGGCGCACGGGUGAGUAACACGUAGGUAAUCUACCUUUGGGUGGGGAAUAACAGCCGGAACGGCUGCUAAUACCGCAUAAAGCAGCGGCAUCACAUGAUGACAGUUGUUAAAGCGGGGGAGUCUGAGAGGACCUCGCGCCAGAAGAGGAGCCUGCGGCAGAUUAGCUAGUUGGUGAGGUAACGGCUCA
This 257-nucleotide ribosomal RNA is filed under the name uncultured bacterium. Its description in RNAcentral is "partial 16S ribosomal RNA". It matches the Rfam family "Bacterial small subunit ribosomal RNA", at positions 32 to 267 of the family's 1533-position model. The record is from RNAcentral.